Molecule: ribosomal RNA, 301 nt
Filed under: uncultured Halopiger sp.
Lineage: Archaea; Methanobacteriati; Methanobacteriota; Halobacteria; Halobacteriales; Natrialbaceae
Description: bacterial SSU rRNA
Rfam family: Bacterial small subunit ribosomal RNA
Source: RNAcentral
CUCUAACUCCGUGCCGUGUGCCGCGGUAAUACGGCGUUGGCUCGCGUUGUUCGGAAUCAUUGGUCGUAAAGGUCGCGUAGGCGGCCGAUCAAGUCGGAGGUGAAAUCCCUCGGCUCAACUGAUGAAUUGCCUCCGAUACUGUUCGGCUUGAGUCCCGGAGAGGGUAGUGGAAUUCCGAGUGUAGCGGUGAAAUGCGUAGAGACUCGGAAGAACACCAGUGGCGAAGGCGGCUACCUGGACGGGUACUGACGCUGAAGCGCGAAAGCUAGGGGAGCAAACAGGAUUAGAUACCCUUGUAGUC